This 447-nucleotide ribosomal RNA is filed under the name Monoplistes curvipes. Its description in RNAcentral is "partial 16S ribosomal RNA". The record is from RNAcentral. Lineage: Eukaryota; Metazoa; Arthropoda; Insecta; Coleoptera; Scarabaeidae.
CAUGUCUUUUUGAUUAUAAUUUAAAGUCUAACCUGCCCCAUGAAUAAGUUUUAAAUGGCCGCGGUAUUUUGACCGUGCAAAGGUAGCAUAAUAAUUAGUUUCUUAAUUAGGAACUGGUAUGAACGGUUGGACGAGAAAAAUACUGUCUCAAUUUAAUUUAAAUUAGAAUUUUAUUUUUGAGUUAAAAAGCUUAAAUAAUUUUAAAAGACGAGAAGACCCUAUAGAGUUUAAUAUAAAUAUAAAUAUUUAAAAAUUUUAGUAUUUUAAAUUUAGUUAUUUUUAUUUAUAUUUGGUUGGGGUGAUUAAAAAAUUUAAUUAACUUUUUUUUAUUUUAAACAUUAAUAUAUGAUUAUUUGAUCCAUUGAUUAUGAUUAUAAGAUUAAAUUACCUUAGGGAUAACAGCGUAAUUUUUUUUGAGAGUUCUUAUCGAAAAAAAAGUUUGCGACC